AUUGAACGCUGGCGGCGUGCCUAACACAUGCAAGUCGAGCGGUAACAGGUGUAGCAAUACAUGCUGACGAGCGGCGAACGGGUGAGUAAUGCUUCGGAAUCUGCCCAUGUAGUGGGGAAUAACCAGCCGAAAGGUUGGCUAAUACCGCAUACGACCCUUGCCCACAAGGCAAAGGUGAAAGCGAGGGGAUCGCAAGACCUUGCGCUAUUGGAUGAGCCGAAGUCGGAUUAGCUAGUUGGUAGGGUAACGGCCUACCAAGGCGACGAUCCGUAGCUGGUCUGAGAGGACGACCAGCCACACUGGGACUGAGACACGGCCCAGACUCCGUACGGGAGGCAGCAGGUGGGGAAUA
This 352-nucleotide ribosomal RNA is filed under the name uncultured bacterium. RNAcentral's name for it is "bacterial SSU rRNA". It matches the Rfam family "Bacterial small subunit ribosomal RNA", at positions 30 to 363 of the family's 1533-position model. The record is from RNAcentral.